GUUGGCGGCGUGGAUUAGGCAUGCAAGUCGAACGGGCCGCAAGGCCAGUGGCGGAAGGGUGAGUAAGGCGACGGUAACCAACCCCAUGGUUGGGUAUAGCCGCGGGAAACUGCGGGUAAUCCCCAGCGACGUCCGCGUCGGGCAUCCGAUGCGGACCAAAGUCCUGGCGCCGUGGGACGGGCCGUCGUGGUAUUAGGUCGUUGGCGGGGUAACGGCCCACCAAGCCUAUGAUGCCUACCGGGCGUGCGAGCGUGGCCCGGCACACUGGGACUGAGACACUGCCCAGACUCCUACGGGAGGCUGCAGUCGAGAAUCUUCGGCAAUGGGCGCAAGCCUGACCGAGCGACGCCGCGUGGAGGACGAAGGCCUUCGGGUUGUAAACUCCUGUCGAGGGGGAGGAAGGUCGGGCGACCGGCUUGACCGAUCCCUGGAGGAAGCACGGGCUAAGUUCGUGCCAUCAGCCGCGGUAAGACGAACCGUGCGAACGUUAUUCGGAAUCACUGGGCUUAAAGCGCGUGUAGGCGGAUGGGGACGUCGGUUGUUGAAAGCCCCCGGCUCAACCGGGGAAUGGGCACCU
This 577-nucleotide ribosomal RNA is filed under the name uncultured soil bacterium. RNAcentral's name for it is "bacterial SSU rRNA". It matches the Rfam family "Bacterial small subunit ribosomal RNA", at positions 35 to 628 of the family's 1533-position model. The record is from RNAcentral.